Amphibalanus amphitrite is the source of this 4266-nucleotide long non-coding RNA. RefSeq lists it as uncharacterized. Lineage: Eukaryota; Metazoa; Arthropoda; Thecostraca; Balanomorpha; Balanidae. The record is from RefSeq and is a predicted model, not a curated record. The transcript has 2 exons.
UAAGUUCGGUUUUAUAUCGUUGUUAUAUUGAUUGACGAGGAUGUUUUUCCUUUCGGGUUUUUUAUGUUUAUUUUUACUGGUUUGUUGUUUGUUAGUUGUUUGUUUUUAUUUUCGGCAUGAGGUUUGGUUAUUUUUGUGCUUAUGUUGUGCUAUCGAGGUAAGAAAGGGGUCGAUGAGCAAUGGGUCGGCAAAUGCCUGGUAUUAUAGGUUCUUUGAAGGUUGGAUAAAAGAAUGAAACAUGGACUGCUAAUUUGCUUGGUGGUGUUUUUCAGAUUUUGGGAGAUUGGGUGUAGGUUCUUGCUAUGUGUAACAUAGCUGAAACUGUUUUUUUUUUCUUCUUCCCUGGAACGGAACGCCGGACUUUACCAUCCUACACUCAGUGUGAGUGAAAUCAGCUCAUGCUUCUCGGUGUAGCAGCUCAGAGUGCACGGCCUGGCCGGCGUGGGGGUUUGGUGGCCACGUGGUGUUGGCCGGUGGUUGUGCAGAGAGUUGGUAGAAUUGCCGUUUGGUGGUGCCUGGUAUUGGUUGAACUGUGGUUCCCAUACAGGUGAACGGUUACUGGCGUAAGGUGUGCCAGGUGGGCGUACCCCGUGGAGAAUGAGCUGCUGGUGAUGUUGGCUCUGUCCGAGCGUGUCCGAGCGGGGUUUUCAUUAGUGGGUUAGGGAUUGUUGAUAAGGGUACCAACUACCAGGUGAGACUUGAGAGGGUAAAUGGAGUUCAUGCUAAUGAUACCCAAUGCAAUGGUAUUGGUCUAAAAUGGUAUUGUUACCUGGUUAGGUUGGAGUGAAAGGUUAAGUGGGUGAUAUAGGUACGGAGGUGCAGAGGUGAUAGUGGAAACCACUUGUGUGGUAAGUCUCGGGAGUCGGGACUAGGAUAUUUUAGAUUAGAUGGGAAAUUAUGUUAGGUAGUUUGGAUGCACUGGCGAUAAUAUAGUAAGUUACAGGAUAGUACCCAAAGGAAGUUUUCACCCUCAUAUUUAAAGACUGCAUUAGGUAUGCCAUUUUCUAUAACGAUGCAGUUUUAUGGUAGCCCGUGAUUGUUUUGCUCUCACUCUACAUUGAGGUGCGAGUUAACUGUUUUCAGUUUUUUUUAUGGUAGUGGCGUUUGUGAAUCGUUUUUUUUUUUUGCCAGAGUAAGGUGCCUUUUUGUCGUGGUCAAUAAAUAGAGCAUUGCCUAGGCAUGCAUAAGCGACAUCAAUCAUCAUGGUAAUGUUGGUAUGCAAUAUGCAUAUCCUGCCGAUGUGUCAUCGCGCGCAUUGUCAGAUAAAUGGCUCCAGUAUGUAUAAUCCCUCCCGAUACCCUCCUUUGAUACGAGCUUUCGGCUAAAAAUGGUUAUGUGACACAAUCCGUUUUUUUCUUCCAUGGCUUGGUGGGUGGUUGGCAUCCGACUCUGAACGGCGACGGAUCGGCACACUCGGCGGGGCCGGCCCGCUGGGCCAGAGUCUUCUUUGGCCGCUGGAGGAUUUCUUCACAGCUCCCGCGUCAGCUGAGGGAGUUCCGACCCCUCCCAGCUCAUCUAGCUCCAGUGGUGCUGCCCGUGCUGCCUAGCAGGUCUUACGGGACAUCGUCAGGUAUAGGCCAAGGUGGCCGGGGUUUUGAAAGGUACGUUGUUCCAUGUAUGCCGGGCCCGGUACAUAUCUGUUAAUGGAGGUUCUAGGGGGACCCGAUAGGGUAGAUAGUGAACGCUUGGGCAUGGGCGAUAUCGGCAUUUUUGUGGGGAUAUUUGGUUCCACCAAUAGGAACAUGAGGGGCAAUGCUGGUGGAAAGUAAGAUAGUAAUAAAAUUCUGAUAAAAUCGUUACGAGGCCUGAAGGUAUUAAAAAAAAAAUGAAAUCUAGUCAACUCUAAGUUCAACGUGUUUUCAACCUUGGUUUGCUGCUGCUGCUGAGGCUUGUUAAAUCGUCUAUAACUAUAUUCAAAGCAGUCUGUUUCUUUGAUUUUUUUUUUCUACUUGUCGCUAUAGGAUAUGGGAUGACCUUUCUCCUGCAAUCAGCAAAUGAACAAUACAGGUCAGGUGCUAUCAAUAAUAGGUAAAAAGGAUUUAGUCAGUAUACGUUGUUAGGACUGGGGUACCCCUCGGUGUCCCUAAAUUGUAUUUUGGCUGGGGUGUCUGAGGAAAAUUCCUGGGGGCCCGGGAACGAUUUUCAAGUUGGGGGGGGGGGGGAGGCGAGCCUAAAAUACCUGACUUGAUGCAUAUGAAACAGUGGCGUAGCUAGGGGUCUAAGGGAACACGCACUCCCCCCCCCCCAAUCGGGUUCACAGGGACCCUCGGGUCCGGGGGGCCCUGCGGCACCAUUUGAUCUGAGGCUUAACGAUGGCCAUAUUUCGACUCGGGAGGGCCCCAUUCGUCUCGUUAGAGCACCGCAUGGGCCCUAAAUUGCCACACUAAGAUCUCCUUAAGGCCCCACUCCGGCCUCUGAGUCAUGGUCCCACAAUUAUUUUUCUGAGGGCCCAAUAACGGCAACUGUGGGGGCCCUCAUCGGCGCUUAUGAGGACCCACACCGGUGUCUCUGAGGGUUUCACGCCUCCAACUCUGAGUGCCUACACCAGUGCCUAUUAAAGCCCUAUAUCGGCGGCUCUGAGAGUGAGGACUCGAAUCCCUACCAAACACCUGCGCAGUGCGCAUCUAGGGACCACCCACUAGUGACUUCUGAGGGCCCCACACCGGUGACAGGGGCCUCUUGCCGGUCACUGAGAACCCCCUGCCGGCUUGUAGAGGGUUCGCGUCAGCAGCUCAGGUCCCACACCAGUCUGUAACUGCUCCACACCAGCGUCUAUGAGGGCCCACAGCAACGCCUGUAGGACCCUCACCGGCGCCUCUGAGAGAGUCACACUGGUGCCUCUCAGCGCCCGCACCGGCACCUGCAUGACAGUCCCACACCGGUGCCUCUACGGGCCCCUUACCGGCGGCUCUAAGGGCCCUACGCCGGUGAUUCUGAGGAUGCUACCGAUAACCGGAGGCGCCAUACAGGCCCAAGGUGUCGCUGAGCUUUAAUCCCUACCGGCCUUCCGUGGGCGCCACGUCAGUGCACUCAUUGCCCCACACCCCUCCCUCACACCCGGAGCGGGUAAACUGUGUUAUACCUAUAGCAACGAUUUUACCACCGUUGUACGUUAUGUAUUUCUCAGGGUUGGCUCAAAAUGGUCCAGUAUAUGUAUGUAAAAGCUGACCUGCCAAACUACCAAUCAAUCAGGCCCAAACCAGUGGGAUGACAAUAGCAGAUAUCAAAUCGAUACUGUAUCGGCAGAAACCAUUCAGAUGGCAAGGAAAGGCCGUGUCCUGAUAAGAUAUAUAAAGGAAACAAGAAGGAAAGAAGUCCGGAAAAGGGAGGAAAGGUCCUUUCUCUCUGCCUCAAUGUUGAGGGGGCGACGCCCCCACGGCUCAAGUUGGGGGGGGGGCAAGCACCCCCGCUGCCCCCCCCUGUUCCCGGGUCUAUGAAAAUUUCUCACCAAAAAGGAAUAGUGUGGGGUGGAAAAUUGAUGGUCAAAUAAGGCCUAAAAAGAGUGAAAAAGGAUGCGCGGCAAAAUUUCAUAAAAGGCUGGUAUAAUGUGGGAAGUAAAAUGGCUAUCCAUCCAUGCGAACGCUUUUUCUGGGUAAAAAUGGGAGUGGAAAAUGGGCUAUUAAAAAUUGGAGGCGAGUGAACAGUGAUUUUCAUUUGGGUGACGUUUCCCAUGCCUUAAUCAACAAAUUUUUGGGCACUGGUACCCCUCGCCAGCAUCAGGGUUGACGUCACUCACUCAGUACUGACUGAGUGUUGAGCUGUCCAGAUGGUCGCAGCUCGGUUGUGGCCGCCUUGGCCGUGUUUUUUUGGCGAUCUAGUGCAACCGUCGCAGAGCAAAGGGAGUAUGAAAUUCAGUUUUUUUUUGUGGGUUCUUUCGCUAAGAAGUAUUUUUCAAUAAUUAAUGUGUGUUCUGUAUGCAAUAUUGCUUUUGCAAGGACGUUGAUUGUUUUUUAUACUUUGAUGGCUGAUAAAGUUCGUAUGCAAUUUGUUAAUAAUGGAGGGGUUGGUGGGAUGCCUAACUGGUCCGGGUGUAUGGUUAGUAAGAGGUGGAAAGUGGGCUAGUUGCGGAGUUAUUUGGAGUGGUUUAUGGCUGGGUAUGGUUUAUUUCCAGUUAAAAUAUUAAUUUGUUCUGGGAGGGGUAGGUUAAAAAAAAACUCAUCGGUUACAACUCAUCAUUUACAAACUAGGGGUCUUAUUGUUUUCUUCUCUUAGAUCGCUGGACUUAGCCGUUCCACACUCUGUAUGGGUGAAUUCAGCUCAUUUUUU